ACACGACUACAUUAGACUACCCGGUAGUCCUAGCCGUAAACGAUACUCGCUAGGUGUCGGCCACGGUGCGACCGUUGUCGGUGCCGUAGGGAAGCCGUGGAGCGAGCCACCUGGGAAGUACGGCCGCAAGGCUGAAACUUAAAGGAAUUGGCGGGGAGCACAACAACGGGUGGAGCUUGCGGUUUAAUUGGAUUCAACGCCGGAAAUCUUACCGGGACCGACAGCAACAUGAAGGCCAAGCUGAAGACUUUGCCGGAUUAGCUG
Molecule: ribosomal RNA, 264 nt
Filed under: uncultured archaeon
Lineage: Archaea
Description: partial 16S ribosomal RNA
Rfam family: Archaeal small subunit ribosomal RNA
Source: RNAcentral